CGGCUCCCGCAACCCAUGGGCGGCCACUGCGCAGGCGCCUCUCGUGGCUGGCGGCCCCGCCCCGCCCCGCCCCGCCCCGACCCGCCCCGACUGGCUGCUCCAUGGCGCUGUGCGAGGCCGCGGGCUGCGGGAGCGCCCUGCUCUGGCCUCGCUUGUUGCUCUUCGGGGACUCCAUCACCCAGGUACGGCCGCCCCGGCCUCCCUGCGGGGUCGCUGCCGAGCAGGCCGAGGCUCCUCGCCGUCCUCUUCGGCGCCCGAGACGGCUGGGCCGGAGGCCUGGCCACGCCCGUGGCGACACCGGAGGAGUGGCGGGUCCCCCAGUGGCUGCGCCUUCCGGGCCCGCGGCGUCCCGGAGGUCACGACGGCGUCCGCGAGAGCCCGGGCUCCAGGCACAGACGCGAGGGGACCCGGCCGCGCUGCCCGCCCCGCGCCGCCUCCCACCCGGGUCGAGAUGCGCGGUCUUCCCCUCAGCGCCCUCCUGGGCAGCGGCCUUUCCCCUCCGGGGCCGGGUUAGCGGCUGCGGGCGACCGCGCGCUGUGUCCCAGGAGGCCCCGCGGCCAGCUCCGGGCAGAGGCGCCGGGAACUCUCUCGCCCCAUUCCCUGCGGACACAGUUUUCCUUCCAGCAGGGUGGAUGGGGAGCAUCGCUGGCUGACAGGCUGGUCAGAAAAUGUGAUGUUCUGAAUCGUGGAUUUUCAGGUUACAAUACCAGAUGGGCCAAAAUUAUCCUUCCAAGAUUAAUCAGGAAAGGAAGCAGUUUGGACAUCCCAGUAGCAGUUACAAUUUUCUUUGGGGCCAAUGACAGUGCACUAAAAGAUGAGAAUCCCAAGCAGCACAUUCCCCUGGAGGAGUACGCUGCGAACCUAAAGAGCAUGGUGCAGUACCUGAAGUCUGUGGACGUCCCUGAGAAUCGAGUCAUUCUCAUCACGCCGACCCCACUUUGUGAAACAGCCUGGGAAGAACAGUGCAUCAUACAGGGUUGCAAACUAAAUCGCCUGAACUCUGUUGUUGGUGAAUAUGCCAAUGCGUGUUUACAAGUGGCCCAAGACUGUGGGACUGACGUACUUGACCUGUGGACCCUGAUGCAGGACAGCCAGGACUUCUCAUCUUACUUAUCAGAUGGACUACAUUUGUCUCCAAAGGGGAAUGAAUUUUUGUUCUCGCAUCUCUGGCCUUUGAUAGAGAAAAAGGUCUCUUCUCUACCUUUGCUGCUUCCUUACUGGCGGGAUGUAGCAGAAGCAAAACCUGAAUUAAGUCUGCUGGGAGAUGGAGACCAUUAGCCAAUCACAGGAGACCCAAAUCUGCUUGUUAUCUACAGAACUCAAAGUUGUCAAUACGUAGAGCAUCGACGUAGGGCACACAGCGGCCGGAAAGGUCCCUGCAGCACACCUUGCAGGAGUUGUCAGUUUCUGGAACAGAGAACACGCAUUGACAGCUGGAUUGUUCUGAGACCUGCCUCUCCUCCUGCCUCCUCUUUCCUCCCUGACCAUGCUCCCAAAGAGGUAAGAAAUCACAUUUUUUAUUUAAAUAGCUAAUACCAUCCAUACCCCCCACCAAGGAGUAGUUUCUGAGGUCACACUCCUCAGCCCUCAGUGACAGAGGCCACAAGGUUUAAAAAAAAAUGCAGAGAAAAAUCCGUUCUAGAUUAAAGGCCUCUCUUAAAAGUCUAACUGUUCUCUCCACUUCAAGCCCCUCACAAUGCUCUUCUAAAUGCUUCCCUUUGUCCCAACUUUCUGGUUACCCUGCUGACUUCAAUCCUUGGUUUUUCAGUCUAAAGUGUGCCCCUCAGGGCCCACACUGGCUCCCUGAAAGCGAGAGCAGCUGGGACACAACUGUCCACCCUUGGGUGGGGAGCUCAGUGACCCCAGGAGCAUGAGCCCUGCAGCCAAAGCUCCACAACUCCUCCCAAGAACAGCUCUGACAGGUCACAGGAUAAAACACCGGGCAUCUGUGAGCCAUGUGGGCAUACAUAGGAAUGGCAGAAAUGCCAGAAAAUUAAACCAUACUUAGGAGAAAAAGAAAUCAACUAGAACACAAAAACAAGCAAAAAGAAACCUUUUCAGAAAAGGCCGGGAGCAGUGGCUCUCGCUUGUAAUUCCAGCACUUUGGGAGGCCAAGGCGGACAGAUCACUUGAGGCCAGGAGUUCGAGAACAGCCUGGUCAACAUGGCAAAACCCCAUCCCUACUAAAAAUAAAAAAAAUUCGCCAGGUGUGGUGGUGCUUGCCUGUAGUCCCAGCUACUCAGGAGGCUGAGGCACGAGAAUCACUUGAACCCGGGAGGCGGAGGCUGCAGUGACCUGAGAUCGCGCCACUGCACUCCAGCCUGGGAGAGAGUGAGACUCCAUCUCAAAAACAAAAAAGAAAACCUUUUCAUCAUUCACUAAUUUAUAAAAUAUUUCUUGGACUUUUACUGUGUCGGGCUCUGUCCUUCCAGAGCACCCCAAGCCUCUUGCCAUUCAAUAAAACAAAUUGUUUUAUUUGGCAUCUACUAUGUGUUACCUUUUUUUUUUUUUUUUUUUUUUUAAGAGAUGAGGUUUCACAGUGUUGCCCAGGCUGGUCUCAAACAACUCCUGAGCUCAAGUGAUCCACCCACCUUGGCCUCCCAAAGUGCUGGGAUUAUAGAUGUGAGACACUGCCCUCAACCUAUCUCCUUUACCUACACAUUAUUGAACUUGGAAGAGUUCCUCACUCCACUGUAUGGAUGGUGAGCUUCCAACCCAGUGAUUUUAUUUAACUACCGGGUUGUCUUUUAUUUAUUUUAUUUUUUACUUAUUUAUUUAUUUGAAAUGGAGUCUCGCUCUGUUGCCCAGGCUAGAGUGUAGCGGCGCAAUCUCAGCUCACAGCAACCUCCGCCCCCUGGGUUCAAGCAAUUCUCCUGCCUCAGCCUCCCUAGCAGCUGGGAUUACAGGUGUACGCUACCACGCCCGGCUAAUUUUUUUUAUUUUUAGUAGAGACAGCGUUUUGCCAUGUUGACCAAGCUGCUCUCAAACUCCUGACCUCAAGUGAUCUGCCCACCUCGGCCUCCCAAAGUGAUGGGAUUACAGGUGUGAGUCACCACACCUGGCUCUUUGUCUAUUUUGAAAGCAAGAGAACUCCCUCAUUGACUCCCAUGGUUUAAGUGGGGUGGGAAGCAGAGUCCAGCCAGUCCCUGACCAGUCCAUGAGGAUGCCCUCAAACCCAGGGGUUCCAAAAUAGCACAGAAACCUAAGGAAAACUGACAGGCCAGCAGGAGAGAGGCUCCUGCCCCAGGCUGCUCUAAGAGAUCAGAGGGGAGCGGACCCAGCCUUCUUGAUAACUGCAAAAAUCCUCAUCUAGUGGGGUUAGGUCCUGGAAUCAGCUCUCUCUGGUGGAGUUGUUGCAGGAGUAUCCUAGUUCCAUGCCAAUGUAAUGUAGAUAGCUAUUGCUGCUUUCGUGGUUUGUAUGAUAUGGAGCAGAGGAAGGCUAGGACACACCUCUACCUACCCACCCACUCACCCCCAACAAAAUUCCCUCCUCUCCCACCUCAAAGCCUGCCAUAUGGCCUGAAACUGCAGCAAGAAGAAACACCAACAGGAUAGGUCUCCCAGGUAUGGUGGAUCUGCAUGCAGAGAUGCCUGUCUCCAGACACCACCCUGCCCUUCCCCCUCCCCUCAUCCUCGGCUUGGAUCUCACCACUGCUGUCAUUAGCACGACCUCCAAAUGGAGGAAGGGAGCCUGGCAGACAAAGGCCAUGUUUUCUCCUGCUGCUGGACUGGGCAUAAAACUGCUCACCAUUACACGCACAGGACUCCAGCUGCUGUUCCCUCUCGCAGAAAGGGAUGCAUUUCCCAUCCUUACACUUGCCAAGAUCCAAGCAAACAGUGUCAUCUUCAGCAUUUCCCGGAGGCGGGCACUCACUGCUAUUACCUGGAAGCAAACACCAGUCAUAACAAAAAGAAUGAGUCACAGGUCCACCAGUUCUACAGGUGCAUAAUACGCUGUUUCUCAUACAAGUGAGCAUCUUACCUUGCAAAAGCAAAAAGUGACCUACAGAGCUAGGACAAGAGCCUGCAUCUCACCAGCAAUCAGCAUUUAAAUGGGAGUGCCUGGCUAUGUGCCAGGCUAGGCUGCAUGAGUCCCUGGCCUCCCAAGCCCCAGUUAGAAUGCAUGGUCUCCACUUCUGCAUCUCACAGUCAUAUAUAAAAGAAUAUCCUAUGUGCUAUUACUUAGAAUAAAUUGCAAACUUUGUAUGAAGGCUUGAAAGAACUCCACGGCCUUCCCUAUCUGGCCCUGACUUCAUCGCACACAACUCUCCCACAGCCCACGGCUUUGGCUAUGACAACCUCCAUUCAGUUCCUUCAAUAUUAACAGAUACUAUUCCUUCUACCUGGAAUGCUGGUGUUUCCACUCUUUGGGGGCAAUUAGCUGGCUUUUCUUAUGGAUUAAGUUUUGUCUCAAAGGUUUUCUGAGAUAUCCCUGAGGAUGCUAAGUUGAUGUGGCCUCCCCACUUCCAUUAUGCACUAUCACACUCCUUCUCUCCUUCAUUGCAUAUGUUUUGCAAUUUAUAUAUAUAUAUAUAUAUAUGUAUAUUUAAUGUUAUUUUGUUUUCCCUCUACUAGACUGGUAAGCCCCAUGACAGCAAUGAUCAAAUCUAUUAAGUUAUCUCCAAUCCCUAUCAUAUUAUAGGUAUACUACAAAUAUUUCUUAAAUAAAUCAAUUAUUCUUUUUAUUUUUCUUUUGAGACAGGGUCUCAGUCUGUCACCCAGGCUGGAAGGCAGGGGUGUGAUCAUAGCUUACUGCAGCCUCAAACUCCUAGGUUCAGGCAAUCCUCCUGCCUCAGCCUCACAAGUACCUAGGAUUUCAGGCGUAUGCCACCAUACCUGGCUAAUUUUCUUUCUUUUUUUUUGAGAGAUGAGAUCUCCCUGUGUUGCCCAUGCUGGUGUCAAACUGCCGGGCUCAAGGGAUCCUCCCACCUUGGCCUUCCAAAUGCUGGAAUGAUAGGCAUGAGCCACUGUGCCCAGGCCAAUAAUGCCAAAGAAAACCCACCAAAGAAAGUUAAACUGGGAGAGACAGGAUGGAAUGAGUGAAUCAUUCUGGAAAAUGAAUAGCACAAGUAGCUAAAAGUCAACACAAAUAGAGGAGGAGAAAAAAAACACUUUAUGAAAGCAAUGGACUAUAUAUCCACAGCUCUGGACUGGCCUUUCAGUUGAAGAAUGAAGCCAAUCAAAAGAAUUCUGACUUAGAGGGUUUCAGAGCAGUAACACAAAAUGUACAGAAAAUCUGGCCAGUUUCAAACAAAAGUGAUGGUUUAUUAAGUACCCAACAGAUAACCAGGCACUUUGCCUCUGUUCUCAUAAAACCUUUCAUGAGCACUGGGCAUUCAUCGUAUCAACAGUCAUUUAACAAACUAUUACUGAAAGUAUGAUGUCCAGUGAGCUCAGGGAAGGUUUAUAUUGUGGAUCAUUAUUGUAUUUUUGGUAUAUGAUACUGCCCUGAUACAUUAAAAAAAUGCUCAAUAAAUAUCUGUUGAGCAUCUGUUCUUAAAAGACUAAAGUCAGAGUAUUAGACAGGUAGGAAAAUAAUUCUGAAAAUGGUAUCAUCUAUCUAGCAUGGUCCCCAAAGUUUAGCAUGCAUGGAAAUCACCUGACAGAAGGUUACACAGCACAGACUGCUGGCCUCCCUUCCCACAUCUUUUGAUGCAGUAGAUCCAGGGAGGGGACUGACAAUUUCCAUUUCUAAUAAGUUCCCAGGUGAUGUUGCUGCUGCUGGUUGUGAAAUGCUAAUUGCUUUUUUUUUUUUUUUUUUUUUUUUUUUUUUUUUUUUUGAGGUUGUUGUUCUCUAGCUUUUCUUGCUAGAAAAUACUGAUUUCUUAUCAGGAACUUAUCCUCUGCUAUCUACUAUUUUGUAUAAAAUAUCAAGGGAACAAAAAGCUGUUUGAUAAGAACAAACAUGUUUUCAAAUUGUUUUACUUAACGUUUAUUUAAAAGAAAGCAUUUUUCUCAAUCUAUUUUAUUAUUACAGUGAAGAUGAAACAUUGAGCAUAGCUAGCAAAUGCUUCUUUAAAGCUUGAUUUAGAUAUUCAGGUUCCUAACAUUUGUUUUUUUGGUUUUUUUUUGAGACGGAGUCUUGCUCUGUUGCCCAGGCUGAGUGCAGUGGCGUGAUCUCGGCUCACUGCAAGCUCCGCCUCCCGGGUUCACGCCAUUCUCCUGCCUCAGCCUCCCAAGUAGCUGGGACUACAGGCGCCCGCCACCACGCCCGGCUAAUUUUUUGUGUCUUUUCAUAGACACAGGGUUUCACCGUGUUAACCAGGAUGGUCUGGAUCUCCUGACCUCGUGAUCUGCCCACCUCAGCCUCCCAAAGUGCUAGGAUUACAGGUGUGAGCCACCGUGCUGGGCCAUCAGGUUCCUAACAUUUGGCAAACUAAUGUGAUAGUGACAGAUCCGAAAAGAUAAAAACAUGGGCAACAUGUCAUAAUAUGCACAUGGAAAACCAAAGUCAAGCCAAAAUAGGACACAACUUCAUUCACUAGGUCCCUGAAGACCUCCAGCUUUCUGUUUGCAUCCUUAUCACAAAACCUAGGAUAGUUACAAUAAAGAAGAUAAUAACAAGUGUUGGUGAGGAUAUGGAGAAGCUGGGACCCUCAUACAAUGCUGCUGAGACUGUAAAAUGGUGUAGCCAUUUUGGAAAACAGUCUGACAGCUCCUCAAAAGAUUAGGCAUAGUUACCACAUGACCCAGAAAUUCUAUUCCUGAAUAAUAUCCAAAGGAAUUGUCCACACAAAAACUCAUACAUAAAUGUUCACAGCAGCAUUAUUUGUUAUAGCAAAAAAGUGGAAGCAACCCAAAUGUCUAUCAACCAAUGAAUGAAUAAACAAAAUGUGGCAUAUCCAUGCAAUGGAAUAUUACCCAGCAAUAAAAGUACAUGAAGUACUGAUACAUGCUACAACAUACAUGAACCUUGAAAAUGCUAUGUUCAGUGAAAGAAGCCAGUCAUACAAUAUGUGGUCACGAAACCAUAUUGUAUAAUUCCAUUUAUAUGAAAUGUUCAAAACAGACAACUCCAUAAAGAAUAGGGUGGUUAGUGGUUGCUCUGAGUUGUGAGGAAUGGGGAGAUUGGAGGAUCAUAGCUAAAGGAUACAGGGUUUCUUUCUGGAGUAAUGUAAAUGUUCUAAAAUUAAUUGUGGUGAUGACUGCAUAAAUCUGAAUAUACUAAAAAUCAUUAAACUGUAUACUUUAAAUGGGCAAACUGCAUGAGUGUGAAUUAUGUAUCAAUAAAGCUAUUACAAAAUCAAACCAACCAACCAAGAGAGACAAAUUUUGAAAAAUAUAAGAAUGGGACAGAUAUAUCAGAGGAACAAAAAAACUAGAAUAGCAAACUGAAUAUUGCUUUUUGACAAUUUAAGUCAAAAAACAUCGCAAGGGUAAAAAAGGAACAUUAUAUACUGGUAAGGAACAGCAGAUAAAGAUGUAGAGAUAUGUCCGUUUAUAUACCUAGUAAUAACAUAGCUUUGAAAUUUUUAAAGCAACAAUUGACCGAACAAAAGAUACUGGACACCUGGAAAGGUUAGCUCCAGAAAGAUUCAAGUCCUGAAUGUAAAAGGACAACUUAUGAAGCUAAUAGAAGCAGCUGUGGAAAAUAUCUUUUUAACCAUCCGCCAUGGCUUUUCUGAACCAUGUGUUUAAAAAAUAAACACACACACACAACAAAAUGAUGGAUUUGAUUACAUUAAAGAUUUCUGUGCUGAGAAUGGCAACAGACAGGAGAUGUAUGCAAACCAAAUGGAUGAUUACAUAAGAACUCCUCCAAAUUCACAGUAGUGAAAUAACAUGAAACCCAAUUUUUAAAAAAUGAACCAAAUAUAUGAACUGGCUAUUCACAGGAGAAAUCUGAAUAGCUGAAAAAUAUAAAGAGAUGCUCAAGAAAAAUGUAAGUAAGUGCAUUAGGACAAGGGCUGUUAAAAAAAAAAAAAGUAAGAACAAGAGAUUACUUUACACUUAUCAUGCUAAUAGGACAGCAGGGUAAUUCCAAGUGUUGGCCAGAACGUCAGGAUAAGGAGUCCUCAGACACAGGCAACCUAGCAGUGGUGCUCUAGAGACCAGCAUAUCCUGCCUCUGUGACUACACAAUGACACUCCUCAGUACCCAGAGAAACACACAGGUUCCUGAAGGGACGUAGGAGGAUGUGAUCUGUGUCCUAUUUGGAAUAUCAAGGGGAUGAAGGCAAUGGAAGUAGCUACCACUUGGUGAAUUAGACAAACUCUUAAUGUAAAAAACCACCAUCAGAGCCACCCUGGAGUUAUGGCAAGGCCAUCACAGUCUUCUCCAAAGGCCACUGAUAUGGAACUGGGAACCUCCCUCCAUAGAAUGCUAAAUUGCUGAUGUGAACUUGGUUAAGGAUCUAUAAUUCUUCUUAUGAAGAUGGAGUCUCGCUCUGUCACCAGGCUGGACUACAGAGGCACAAUCUUGGCUCAUUGUAACCUCCGCCUCCCGGGUUCAAGUGAUUCUUCUGCCUCAGCCUCCUGAGUAGCUAGGACUACAGGUUAAAAUGGAGUUAAAAUUCACAGUGAACAGAUAAGAAGACCUCUUCACUGAUUUGUCAGAGUUACAACUCCCAAGCAGCUGGAGAGCACUAACGAUAAAAGGACCAACCCUCAACUCUGGCUUUCUGUCUACACAUCCCUGAAGAUCUGGCAGCUUCUGUUUGCAUCCUUGUCAUAAGACCUCCUCUUCCCUUCAGCAAACCUUCCUAAGAAGUUACAAUCUCAAAGAGGAAAGUUCUGGAAGACCAAAGAAAAUAUGUCAUGAAAUCAAGCCAUUAAGAAGUUCUGACUCCAAAAAAGUAAAGGAGCAUGAGCUACUGUACACACAUACUGGAUUAAGAAAAUGUGGCACAUAUACACCGUGGAAUACUAUGCAGCCAUAAAAAAGGAUGAGUUCAUGUCCUUCGUAGGGACAUGGAUGAAGCUGGAAACCAUCAUUCUCAGCAAACUAUCGCAAGGACAAAAGCCAAACACCGCAUGUUCUCACUCAUAGAAGAGAACCAUCUUAAAACCAUGAGGUGACAUGCAUGAGGACAAAGACUUCCUGCUUGUUCUUGAGCCACUGAGGGCACCUCUGAGUUGCUGUACCACCCAGAAAAUGCUAUCCCUGAACUUCUUGUUGACUGAGACAAAUAAACCCCUUAUUUAAACCAC
RNA transcript from Gorilla gorilla gorilla (western lowland gorilla), 9149 nucleotides. It is a transcript of the gene named isoamyl acetate hydrolyzing esterase 1 (putative), with no coding region annotated. The record is from RefSeq and is a predicted model, not a curated record. Lineage: Eukaryota; Metazoa; Chordata; Mammalia; Primates; Hominidae. The transcript has 13 exons.